RNAcentral lists this long non-coding RNA (5938 nucleotides) under Zostera marina. RNAcentral describes it as "long non-coding RNA (ZMAR_LNC000094)". The record is from RNAcentral. Lineage: Eukaryota; Viridiplantae; Streptophyta; Magnoliopsida; Alismatales; Zosteraceae.
UAGGAUUAGGUAUGUUUAUAUAGAAGAACACCCAACGGCUAUGUUGGUUGGGUGUAUUUAAUUAUGGUAAUUAAUAUAUAUAGGAAUGUGUAAUAUGGAUUUGGGAAUUAAUAUAAGAUUGAAUAUUUGAUUGAUAUUUGAAUGUGAAAAGAUGUAAUGAGAAUGUGAAGAGUUGUGAUGAAAUAAGAGGGUGUUAAUGAUAAUUUUAUUAUAAUGUUAUAUGUGUAAUUUAUUUUAAGGUAGGGGUAUAUCUCUAAUAUCCUCCCUCAAAUCAAAACCGGUCAGGGUUUGAUUUGAAUAUGUGGGUGCAUUGGGGUGUUGAAGUGAAUUAAUUGGGUUUGAAUUCUUGGUGUGUAUAUCAAUUAGGUUUAGUUUUUGGAUUAAAUUUUUAAAUGCUGGACCACCCAAGGGUUUAGUGAAAAAAUCACCAAUGUUUUGUGUGCUAGAGACGUGUCUUAGUGUAAUAUCUCCCGCUAAAACCUUGUCCCUCACCGUGUGAAGAUCGAUCUCUAUAUGCUUUGUUCGUUGGUGUGAUAUAGGGUUUCGUGCAAUCGCCUCUGCUGCCGUGCUGUCGGUGAAGAUACGUGGAGCCGGUGAUCGUCGUAUCUGGUAAACUCCUAUCUCAUGUAGUAGCAUUGUUAACCAAGUUAUUUCACAUGUAGUGUAGGCCAAUGCUCUGUACUCAGCCUCAGCCGAUGAUCUUGAUAUUGUUUGUUGCUUUUUUGAUUUCCAAGAUACUAGGGAAGUACCAAGGAAGAUGGCAAACCCCGAUGUUGAUCGUCUGGUGGUUGGGCAACUUGCCCAAUCUGAGUCAGAAAAUGCAGAAAUGUGGUCCAUUGAGGAUCCUGUAAAAUGCAACCCCACACCAGGUGAUCCUUUUAUGUAUUUUAAUACUCUGUAGGCAGCUUUCAUGUGAAUGUCUGUGGGUGUUGCCAUGUGCUGGCUUAGAUAAGUCACAGCAUAUGAUAUGUCUGGUCUUGUGCAAGUUAAAUAAACUAACUUGCCAAUUAUACUUCUAUAUUGCUGUGGGUCCUCUAAUGGGGUUCCACAUGUCUCUGUUUUAUGUGACUGCAUUGGUGUUUUAUUGAUGUGGUUAUUUGGUUGCAUUAAUGUGUUAUUAAGUUUUUCUGUUUUAUAAUUGGAUAUUUGUUUUUGGCUAUUUGGAGUGUUGUUUGGUUUGCAUUGAGUUAGAUCAUAUUUUUCCAAUAGAUCUAAGGUGUAUUUUCUUUGCCCGAUGUAUAGGCCAUUUGGUGUUUUUGUGAAUUCAAGGCCUAGGAAAUAUUUAAGUUCUCCUAGGUCUUUUAUUUUGAAAGUUUCACUUAAGUUUCCUUUUAAGGUAUUAAUUUUAUCUAUGUUAUUUCCUGUUAUUAACAGGUCAUCAACAUAGGCUAAUACUAUUGUAGUAUCUUUAUCAUCAAUGUUUAUGAACAGUGAAUAAUCUGUCUUGCAUUGUUUGUAUCCAAAAUUGGAUAGAGCCUUUGACAGAGUUUGAUACCACACUCUGGAGGCUUGUUUUAGGCCAUAUAGUGACCUAUUCAGUCUGCAGACUGAAUUUGGUGGUGAGUCUUUUGGUAUGUCUAGACCCAGGGGAAUCUUCAUGUAUAUAGUUUCUUCUAGAGUUCCAUGUAGAAAAGCAUUUUGUACAUCCAUUUGAUGCAUGUGCCAUUUCUUGGAUACUCCUAUUGCUAAAAUGACUCUGAGUGUUGUCAUUUUUGAGACAGGGGCAAAGGUUUCUGUGAAAUCUAUCCCCUCAAUUUGGUUGUAUCCUUUUGCAACCAAUCUUGCUUUAUGUUUUUCAACAGUUCCAUCACUGUUGAAUUUGGUCUUGUAAACCCAUUUGCAGCCAAUUGGUUUCUUUCCUUGAGGAAUGCUAGUGAUUGUCCAUGUUUUGUUGUUUUCAAGAGCCUCAAGUUCUUGUUUCAUAGCAUUGUUCCAUUUGGCAUGUUUGGAGGCUUCUUUGUAUGAGCUUGGAUCAUUGUUGCUUUCUAUUGUUGUGAUGAAAGCAUAGUAUUCUGGGGUGAAAUUUUGUUGUGAGAUUUCUUUCCCUAUUGGGUGUCUAGAUGAUGCUAGUUGUAGUUUGUAAUCUUUUAGGUAUGAAGGCAUUUUUCUAGUUCUUUUUGAUGUUCUGUUAGUGCCCUCAUUGUCUGCUGGUGUUGGUGUUUCAGCUAUUUCUUCCUCUUCUUCUGACUCAUAUUGUUCAGUGAGUUCCAUUGAAGGAGGAAUGUGAGAAAUUUGAGGAAUUAUCUCCUCAUCUUCCUCUGACUCAUAUUGGUCAUGUGAGGGAGUUAUGUAUGUGUUUGUUUCUUCUAGUGGUUCUUUGUUGAAGAAGUCUUCCUCAUGUUGUUUAGGUUUUUCUUGAAAUGGGAAUAUUUCUUCAUGGAAAGUAACAUCCCUGUUUGUGAAGAUUUCUUGGUUUGACAGAUUGAGUAUCUUAUAACCCUUUCUUUGGAAAGAGUAUCCUAGGAAAAUUCCCUUGAUGGCUCUGUUUUCAAAUUUUGUCUUUGUUUUGUUGUUUGUAGCAUAACAAAGACAUCCGAAUACUCUUAGGAUAGAGAGAUUUGGUUGCUCAUUAAACAGCCUGUAGUAAGGGGUGUCAUUGUCUAGGACAACAGCUGGGGUUCUAUUUAUUAGGAAUACAGCUGUUAAGAUGCAUUCCCCCCAAUAUGUAAGGGGAAUGUUGGAUUGAAUCAUAAGUGACCUGGACACUUGUAGUAUGUGCUGGUGUUUUCUCUCUACUCUCCCAUUCUGUUGAGGAGUGUAGGGACAUGAUAGUUGGUGUGCUAUUCCAUUUGUUUUUAUAGUAUUUUGGAAUUCUUUAGACAGGAAUUCUGUUUCAUUGUCUGUUCUUAUGGUUUGGAUCGUUGUUUGAUGUUGAUUUUUAACAUCCAAGAUGAACUGUUUGAAUUUUCCUAUUGUCUCAGCUUUGUUUGUCAUCAGGAAGGCCCAGGUAGCCCUUGAAUAGUCAUCUACGAUGGUCAGAAAGUAGUUGUUUCCUUGAUGUGUGGGUGUAUGAAACUUUCCCCAAAUAUCUAGAUGAAUAAGUUGAAAGCAUUUUGUAGUUUUACUUGUGCUAGAAUUAAAAGAUAGCCUUGUUUGUUUUGACAAAGGGCAUGUAUUACAAAAUUUGGAAAAAAUUUUAGGAAUACAAUUGUUCAAUAAAUGUAGGUGAUAAAAUCUAGAAGGUGCAGGGUGCCCUAGCCUUCUGUGCCAGAUUUCUUCAUCUUUGGAUUCCCUUUGUUGGCUAUGAUUGGCCUGGGGUGAUUCUAGCUUCAGUAUAUAUAGGCCAUCCUUCUUCUCACCACCACCAAUCUGGUUUCCCUGCUGGUCCUGUAUGGAACAGAAAGUAGGGUGGAAGGUGAAUAAGCAAUUUAUAUCUUUUGUUAAUUUGCUUACAGAUAGAAGGUUUACUGAGAAGGAUGGUAUUUUAAGGACAUUGUGUAAGAUAAUGUCUUUUGACAGGGUUAUGGAGCCACUUGAUGAUACUUUUGUGGUUUGUGAGUUUGGAAGGUGUAUGUUUAUUGGGUACAGGAGUGUUUUUAUGUUCUGUAGUUUGGUGUUGGGGGAACACAUAUGAUCUGUUGCCCCUGUGUCAAUGAUCCAUUGAUCAUUUUUUGUUUCAGUGUGUGGUUUUGUGUGUGUGUUUAAGGAGUAAUGAAAGCAAGUAUUAUUUUUAUAAAGUGACUUACCAGAUGAGCUUUCAGAAGCCAUGUGAGCCUGACUCUGUUUUUCUUUGGAGAAUCCUCCCAGUAUGUCUAUUAGCUCUUCUCUAGUGAUGAACUUGUUUUCAGUUUUAUCUUCAUUGGGUUUUGGUUCAUCUUCUUCUUGUUGUGUGCUAGCAUUGUUGCUUUGGUAUUUGCUUUUCUGUCCUUUGUUGGGCCUGCCAUUGUAGUUUUUCUUUCCAACAAAUUUUGUAUCCUUCUUUUUGUUGAAAUCUACCCCAUGGAGCCCAUGUCCUGCUGGAAAUCCAUGCUCAUAGAAGCAUGUUUCCAGAGUGUGGUUGUGUUUCUUGCAUCUUGUGCAGUAGGGUUUGGAGUCUUCACUCUGAAUGUGUGUCUUUACCUGAGGAUUUUUAGAUUGUGCUAUCAUGGCAUUGCCUUCCUCAGGGUAUACACACUCCCUUUGAGUUUCUUCUUGUAGAACCAUGCUAAAAGCAUCCUCUACUGAAGGUGGGGUUUUCUUCUUCAGAAUCUGUCCUCUGAUGGUCAUGAAGGAGUCAUUCAGACCAGUUGUGAAGGUGAUUAACCUCUCCAGAUUUUCCUUUGCUAUGCAGUUAGCAUUUCCACAACAUUCAAAAAUUUGAUUGUUGUCCAAUUCAUUCCAGAGUCCCUGUAGCUUGGCAUAGUAAUUGCUUACAGAUUCGUUGCCUUGAGUGCAUAGUGCAAUCUGCCUUUUCAGUUGAGAGAUGACCAGGGAGUUUGCUCUGCUGUAUUUCUGUUUAAGAUUUUGCCAUAAGAUAUUGGCAUCAUUUAUGAAGAUUGUGCUGCUUUUGAUUUCUUUGGAGCAGCUGUUUAAUAUCCAUGCAGUGACCAGAUCAUUGCAUCUGAUCCAGGGUAUGAAGUAUUUAUCUGUGUUGUCUGCUGGUUUUGUGAUGGUUCCAUUUAUGAAACCUAGUUUGUUUUUGGUGGAUAGGGAUCUUUGAAUCUCAACCACCCAUGUUUGGUAGUUUGAUCCACUGAGUGGAGUUACUACCAGGCUUAGAUUGGGAUUAUCACUUCCUGAAAUGUAGUAUGGAUUUCCAUCUUUGAUUUUAAACUCAUCAUUCUUUGUUGUCAUUUUCAGAUAAAAAUGAGAGGAGGGAAAGAAGGCUGAUGAGAAGGCACACCAGGAAUCUCAGGAGAAUGAGAGAGCUCAGAAGGCAGAAUAUGGAUGUGGAGGCCUUGGAAUAUUUUGGUGAUGUGGAAGAUGUGUAUUCUUCCUCUGACUCUGAGUAUGAGAGACCUGUUCCUGUGUGGGAUAUUGACUUUCCCUCAGAUAGUGAUGGCGAAGAUGGUGUGGUGUGUCAGGAAUACUACUAUGAUUAUGAUAGUGAUGAUUCUAUGCCUGACUAUGAGAUAUGGAGUGAUCCAGAUGUGGGCCUGAAUUCUGAGGGGGAGAAGGAGAAUGGUGUUCUGGCAGUAGAGAUUCCACUACCUCCUCGUCCUCCACAAGAAUUCUUUGACAAUAUCUGGAGAAACAGGAUUAUUUUUGAUGAUUAACAGUGCUGCUGUGUUGAAACAGAAGUGAUAGAGUUUUGUGUUUUGAAACAGUUUGUAAUGCUGUUUCCUUUUGUGGAAAGAAUUGAUAGUAGAAAGAAAAAUAUGAUUUUAGAAUAGAAAAGAAAGAAUAUUUUGAUCAGGAUUGAUCCUGCUCUGAUACCAUGAUAGAACUUAUAUUUGAAAUAUAUGCAAAUAUAAAUAUGAAAUGUGGUUUAAGAAUUGAAUUAUUGAUGAAUGUAUGAUGAUAUGAUAAUAUAUUGUAAAUUGAUACUGUAGGAGAAUCGAUUGAUGAAGCGAUGAUCCACAGCUUGUUGAAGUGAGUUGAAUGUGAUUGAACUUGAAUCUGUGAUUCAAGUUGUUGUAUUGCGGAAGCGUUUGAUGAUUAGCAAUUCCAGUUGCAGAGUUGAUCAGACAGAGUAACACAAAGUCUGUAUUGUAAUACAGAGUGUGUGGAUGUGUGUGUGAUCGUGUGUUAAUCUUAAACUAGGAUUAGGUAUGUUUAUAUAGAAGAACACCCAACGGCUAUGUUGGUUGGGUGUAUUUAAUUAUGGUAAUUAAUAUAUAUAGGAAUGUGUAAUAUGGAUUUGGGAAUUAAUAUAAAAUUGAAUAUUUGAUUGAUAUUUGAAUGUGAAAAGAUGUAAUGAGAAUGUGAAGAGUUGUGAUGAAAUAAGAGGGUGUUAAUGAUAAUUUUAUUAUAAUGCUAUAUGUGUAAUUUAUUUUAAGGUAGGGGUAUAUCUCUAAUA